AUGGUUCUAUUCAUCCUUCAAUUUUCCCAACUCCGGUUUCUAGCAACGAUGGACCUUGGGCUAAAUGGAAUUUCUGGCAAGGUUCCUGGGUUCUUUGCAGAAUUCCCUUUCUUAAGAGACCUUACCCUCCGGGCUAAUGAUUUUGAAGGGCAAUUUCCCACAAAUAUCUUCCUGCUAAAAUAUCUGAAACAUCUUGACCUGUCCUAUAACCCCAGCCUUUAUGUGCAACUACCAGAUUUCCCACCAAGAAAUGGUUUGCAAUCACUAAAUCUACUGGAGACAAACAUUUUUGGUGGCAUACCAGAUUCUUUUGUCCAUCUCAACUCCUUGAAAUUCUUGGGCCUUAGCAACAUAGGAUCUCACAAGCAGCCCAUUACCUCCAUAGCUAACCUUACGUCCCUAAAUGGAUUGUGGCUCUCUGGAUCAGGAAUAGAGAAGCCAAUGCUCUCUUGGGUUGGAAGAUUUGAGAAUCUGAUUUACUUGUCGCUGCAUGACUAUAAUUUCUCUGGUCCAAUUCCUUGGUGGAUCAGAAAUUGUACAAACUUGAUGAGCUUAUGGCUCAGACAGUGCAGUUUAUCUGGGGCAAUACCCACGUGGAUUGGGAACUUGGCCAAGCUUUCAGAUUUGAACUUAUCAUACAAUCGGUUGAGUGGAAAUGUCCCAAAGGCUUUGUUCACUCUUCCGUCGUUGCAAGAACUACUACUAUCAUCAAAUGAACUUUGUGGAAGUUUAGAAGACAUUCCAAACCCAAUAUCUUCCUUACUGUACUCCAUCGAGCUAAGAGAUAACAACUUUGCAGGUCAUAUACCCAAAUCUUUCUUCGAUCUUACAAGACUUCAAGUUCUCUUGCUGGACUCGAAUUACUUUGAAGGCACAGUAGAACUUGGCAUUAUUUGGAAGCUGAAUGCACUAGAUUUUUUGAUGCUCUCCGAUAAUAUUCUAUCAGUCAUAGAUGUUGAAGAUGGUUAUCCAUUGCCUUACCUCCCUCACAUCAGAUAUCUAGGAUUAGCAUAUUGCAACCUUACAAUAAUUCCAGGCACAUUGAGGUAUACAAAUCAGUUGUCUUACUUGGACCUUUCAAAUAACAAAAUACAUGGAGUCAUACCAAGCUGGAUAUGGGUGAACUGGAAGGAAAGUAUGUUCGAACUAAAUCUCUCAAACAACAUGUUCACUAGCUUGGAAAACUCUCCAUCUCUUGUUCAAAUGGACAAUUUAAAAAUGCUUGAUCUUAGUUCCAACAAGCUGCAUGGCACCGUACCUAUACCAGUUACAACUACGUCGUCUAGUGCUUUGUUAGAUUGGUCAGACAACAGCUUCUCUUCUAUUAUACCUGACUUUGGUAGGUACCUUCCCAACAAUACCAUCCAUCUUGAUUUGUCUAGGAAUAAAUUAUAUGGUAACAUUCCAGGGUCUAUUUGUACCCAAAAGCAACUUAAGAUCCUGGACUUAUCAUACAACAACUUUAGCGGCAUGAUGCCAGCGUGUCUAAUAGAAGGUAGCAGUUUAGGUAUGUUGAAAUUGAGAGAUAAUCAUUUGCAUGGGAUACUACCUGAAAAUAUUGGAGAUGGAUGUAUGCUUCAGACAAUUGAUUUGAACAACAACCAAAUUGAAGGGAAGAUACCAAGAUCAUUAUGUAACUGCAGAAACUUAGAGGUCCUUGACAUUGGUAGCAAUCAAAUUCUUGAUACUUUUCCAUCUUGGUUGGGUGAGAUGUCUAAUCUACGAAUUCUCUUCUUGAGAUCAAAUCAAUUAUAUGGUUCAAUAGGAGGCCUUGCUGAAAGUGAUGCGAGUAGUAAGGACUUCUCGGCUUUGCAGAUUAUUGAUUUGGCCUCAAAUAACUUUUCUGGGAGCUUGAGUUCAAAAUGGUUUGACAUGCUACAAAGAAUGACAGAAAACUCUAGUGACAAGGGUAACGCUCUGGCCUUUGAUUCAAGAUUUCCUGGGGAGUACUACCAAGAGAGACUCACAUUCAAAGGGAUUGAUCUUACAUUUACCAAGAUCCUGACCACUUUCAAGAUGCUUGAUUUCUCAAACAACGCAUUUGAUGGUCCCAUCCCAGACUCAGUUGGGAAUCUUAUUGCUCUACAUGGCCUAAACAUGUCACAUAAUGCCUUCACUGUGUUAGAAGGGAUAGAGGGGGAUUGGUGGAAUUGUUUUAUGUAUUGCUUGAGCCUCAUGGGCAUAUAUAUAGGAGUACAUGAUCUACUCGGAGUACAAGGCAAGCCAGGAUAUUUCCUAGUCUAA
Molecule: ribosomal RNA, 2244 nt
Filed under: Triticum aestivum (bread wheat)
Lineage: Eukaryota; Viridiplantae; Streptophyta; Magnoliopsida; Poales; Poaceae
Description: partial small subunit ribosomal RNA
Source: RNAcentral